AAUAGGGUCGGAAAGUCUCGUCACGUGACUCGCGAGAUUUUACGAUAAUUUUUCACUUCCGGGCAGCUGACACAUUAGAGUUGUGUAUUGUUUAAGCAUGUUUCUGGUUUAUACAGAGCUUUCGAGAAAAAAUUAAGUAGUUUUACAAAGCAGAAGGGUUCUCCGACUUACGAUGGAUGAAUUGCGUGCCAUAAAAGCUUGGAUGCGAGUGUGAACGAGGAAAAUUUCGAUCAAAGUACAGAGGACGAUAAUGUUAUUAUCAGCUGAUUACAGAGGAGGAGUUUUGUCAGUGUCCGAUGGGUACAAACGUCAUAUUGUGGCUGCAUCACUUUUGUUUGGCAGAUGUACAGGUGAACGUGGUUGAGGAACACAGCUGAAAGAUGCAGUUGCUUUAAGCAGUACCUAAGACUUUGAUCAAUAUUCUUCAAAAUGCAAAUCAAAUACAGGUUAUUGUCUGCACAUCUUGCAGUGGAUGUUUUGAUCGAGAACUUAUCGAGCAUGAAGACCAGCCAUGUACCUAUCCUGUCAUGACAUUAUUAAAGUACUCUGUGAUAGUUGGAAAAUGUAAUUUAAAACAUGACAUGGCUCUAUGUUACUGCAUCAGAUAUCGAUCCAAGUUUACUUAUAAACCGAAGGAAAA
Molecule: long non-coding RNA, 640 nt
Organism: Saccostrea cuccullata (small rock oyster)
Lineage: Eukaryota; Metazoa; Mollusca; Bivalvia; Ostreida; Ostreidae
Exons: 5
Source: RefSeq, a predicted model, not a curated record